UUUAGUUUCACCACCAGGGUCCAAAAAUGAAUCUUGGUGCUAAGGGCUAGAUAGAUUGGCUUCUAGAUCUGCUCAAUACUAUGCAAGGGUAUGUUUUGCAAAAUGGUUUGUUGUUUUGAUUUAUACAUAUCAGCUGUAUCUUUUACUUUAGAAUCUCCGUUUCAAUAAAUUUUCCUUUUAUGGAAGAAAAAAAAUGUUGUACUGACCUUUUCCCUUUGCAUUCUAAUAUUCUAGGAGAAGUGUUUUACGAUACCUUGUGGUCCUUCUGCUCUGGCUAUUAAAGCAGCGGCAUGGUGCUAAUUGCCAUUGACUAAUGAACAAUUGCAAAUAAAACUGAAUAAUUAUUUAUGAUUUCUUGUAAUAAAAUUUUUCGAAUGGUGUAGAGAUACCAUUGUGAUUAUUUAUGAUUUCUUGUGAUUAAAUAAAACUGAACAGAAGUGAAUAAUGAACCUUUGCGUACUAAAAGCUCUACGAGCCUUGAGGUAAAAAAUACUAGGUCUUUCGAUCACUUCAAUUUGCAAACUUAGUUUCAUAUGCUCUUUUUUACUUUAUAUAGGUUGAUGCACAUCCUCAGCAAAUAAAUCUGCAUCUUUCUAUUUUAAUUUUAAAUAGGCAACCAGUUUUGCCAACUGUGAUUAAUUAUUUUGGUAAAAUUUUCUAUUAUUGUUGUUUCCUAAUUAUACUUGUCUUCACACGAGAAUUCUAUUAAAAUAUGUUCUUAUUAUUAUCUAAAAUCUUCUUACUCAUUAGACUAUAGGGAUAGAAUUCAUCGCUAUGCCUUGAAUAAGUGGACUACGUAUAUAGCCAAUUCUUUUUAGAUUGCUCCUCUGAGUAAAAUUCUUGAUUAUUAAGAGCGUUUCUUUCUUGAGACAUUCAAAUUUUUGCUGUAUCCCCUCUCAUUUCGUAUGUGUUAAAUCUAAUCAUCAGUUUAAGCAUUUUCCUAAUCAAUGUUCGCUAAAUGUUCUUCAUUUCUGCUAUAACCUGCUUCAUAAGUUAUCUUUUAUUUUUUCCUCCUUUUUGAAAAGCUACUAUAAUGGGCUUCCUUUGCAUCAUGAUACAAAAAGAGGCCUUGACCAAACUGUAAAGUUGCUUCUUUCACAUGUAAGUGUGUACAAUUUUUGUCUAUUAAAUGUUUUCUCCAUAAUUUAGGUCAUGAUGUUUCAUUGACAAAUAGUAUCUUGUUUUAGCAACGUCAUUCGCACUAUAGAAGUAUUUUUUUUUUCCUCUUACCAUCAUUUUAGCAUAUCAAUUCUGAUAUAUCUAAAUACUUUACAUGUUCAUCAUGCGGGGAGCAAAUACUGACAUUUUCCCAUUAUGCUUAUGAGGGGCACAUGUGUUUAUUCUCUGGUUGGUUGAGAGAGUUUUACGGGCCUAGCUUUCUUAAACUAAUGCACAUCAAAUGCUUUCAAGAAAACUAUGUGAGUAUUAUAUUUACAAUUUACACACAUUCAUUAUAUCCUCCAUAGUGUUGUAACUUGUAUCUUUAGUUGCUCUUUGUAUUAUCUUGUUUACUCAUUUUGUAUCAGUGACUUUUUGAAAGAUUAUUUUACCAUCUAUGCUUACAAGAAGCUCUUGUUAAUACUUGUGCAGUUGGAUGGUUGUGAUCACUUUACCAUGCUUCCUCCUGUUUUUUAAUGUCACGUCUUUUUUUCUGUUAUCGUCUUUUAUCAGUAGGACCAACAAAAGUUUUUUGACACUGCUACAUAUCAGCUUCGUUGCUACAAUAAUAUGGGUUUGCUCUGUUAUGUGUAUGUGGCCAAAAUAGUAGGAUAUUGAUGUAUGUUUUUGUAUUUUGUACAACGUUGUUGAAACUAGCAAUCAAGUGCCUCAAUUAGCUAAAAUUGUACUUCACCAUGUCGUGUGUGUACAUAUGUGUAUCUAAACUCUACAGAGCAUUAUCAUUUUGUCUAUUACGUGUGCUAUUUCUUCAAUUGGUUAGUACAUGACCUGAACUUAUAAUUUCAUAUUUUUAACUUUUGACAGUGAGGUAAAUAUGCUGAUUGUUGUGGCUCGUGUAGAUUAAAUGUUUAUGUGACUUUAAUGAUGCUGAGAAGGGAUUUUUGGCAUUGAAUAAAACAAUAUCUGAGCGUGAAACAUCAAAAAAGAGCUCAAAAAGAUUGUUUGGAAGGCUCUUCUACCUCGCACUUCCUUCGUCAGUUUGCGAGAUUUUCGUACGUAAAAAAAAAAUUGCAACAAUGAAGAACAAUUGGCUCUAUUCCAAUCAGUGCAUGUCAACGUCCUGCUGAAUAUCAGGAGCGUUUGCAUGAAAAGCAAAUAUUAAUAGGCUUUAAUUGUGAGGGGAUGACCUUUGUCACUGUGGGUCUCUAUGCAUCAUGCAGGAUUAUUUAAAUUUCAUUAUCGAGACCACGGUACCAAUUUCUUCAUUUUUGAACAACAUUUUUAUGAAAUCAACUAUCUCAACUUUCUUUGAAGGUUUGAAUUGCUUACAAAUUUUUGCGGACACUUGAGUGUAUCAAUAUGAAAAAUGCAACGCAAUAUUUUGAUACGUUAACAUUAUCUUAAAAAUAACAUAGCUCGUGUAUUGCACGGGCAAUAGACUAGUGUGUGUGUG
Molecule: long non-coding RNA, 2572 nt
Filed under: Olea europaea subsp. europaea
Lineage: Eukaryota; Viridiplantae; Streptophyta; Magnoliopsida; Lamiales; Oleaceae
Source: RNAcentral